This is a non-coding RNA of Cinara cedri, 512 nucleotides long. Lineage: Eukaryota; Metazoa; Arthropoda; Insecta; Hemiptera; Aphididae. The record is from the annotation of a GenBank genome assembly.
AUCUUGAUCCGAUAUGCCGAGCGUAGCGACUCUUCCGUAAGAAAAUUUCAUCUACUCGGUACUUAAGGGAGGUCGUCUUUUGGUUUUCCAAACGGUUUUCAUAUUGAGUGGAGAAAACCGUAGAAAAACAGGAAAAUCUAAUACUAACUUCCCGACUUCUCGCCUACAACCGCGUUGUUUUUUAUUUGUUAUUAAUUUUGGAAUUGUUCCGAGCCAAUUAGCGUCACUCUAGGAGACGACCCGGUCGAUAAUAAUACUCCGAGAACACCGAAAACUGUGUAAAGACUUGGCGGUGAACUGCAAUAUUAUGUUGAUCUGAGGAGUGACGACUGUAACAGCGAAGAUCGUACACAUACAUACUGAUCGUCCGAAAACCAUGGGCGUCAUUUCAGUUGUUCAAUAGGUAUGCAAACAUUUGAAUCGGGCCUAUUUUUCUAACCAUUUUCCGUUCGCUUAUAUUCGUAUUCCUGAUUUACGUUUUAAUACUGAAAUACACGGUUCCGCGACAUUAC